RNAcentral lists this ribosomal RNA (1009 nucleotides) under Asterodinium gracile. RNAcentral describes it as "partial 28S ribosomal RNA". It matches the Rfam family "Eukaryotic large subunit ribosomal RNA", at positions 1 to 909 of the family's 3401-position model. Lineage: Eukaryota; Dinophyceae; Gymnodiniales; Brachidiniaceae. The record is from RNAcentral.
CAUGACAUGAAGUUAGGUGAGCAAACCCGCUGAAUUUAAGCAUAUAAGUAAGCGGAGGAUAAGAAACUAAAUAGGAUUCCCUUAGUAAUGGCGAAUGAACAGGGAUAAGCUCAGCAUGGAAAUUGGGGCCUCUGGCCUUGAAUUGUAGUCUUGAGAUGUGCUGCCAACGGAGGCGCAGAUGUAAGCCUCUUGGAAAAGAGCAUCAGGGAGGGUGAGAGUCCCGUAUGUCAUCUGCAGUUCUCUGUGCACGGUGCAUUUUCUAAGAGUCACGUUCCUCGGGAUUGGAGCGCAAAUUGGGUGGUAAAUUUCAUCUAAAGCUAAAUAUUGGUUCGAGACCGAUAGCAAACAAGUACCAUGAGGGAAAGGUGAAAAGGACUUUGAAAAGAGAGUUAAAAGUGCCUGAAAUUGCUGAAAGGGAAGCGAAUGGAACCAGUUGUUCUUGGCGAGUAUUGGUGUUGUCUAAAGUGAUGGCUUGUCACUUCAACGCAAGUGUGGUGGCAAGUUUUGAUCUGGAUGUGAUACUGCUUCUCGCCUUGUGUGUCAACGUCAGUUCAUAAUUGAGGAAAACUCUAGGGACAUGGUAAUUUGCUUCCGGGUGACUGAAUGUGCCUAGUCGAACUCAUUUUUGAACUGCUCCCUGUGUGUCUGGUCGCAGUGCUCUGUGUUUGCCUGCAUUCUCUUGCUGGCUCCCUGGCAUGAGAAUUGCUGGUGCCCGGAGCAUGUCCUUGACAUAAGUACGAUGACGAAAUGGUUUUAUUCGACCCGUCUUGAAACACGGACCAAGGAGUCUAACAUAUGUGCAAGUUCACGGGCGGGAAAACCUGCUUGCGCAAUGAAAGUGACUGCUGGGAUAUCUGCACCAGCAACCGACCAAUCAAUUGUGAGAGGUUUGAGUAUGAGCAUAUCUGUUAGGACCCGAAAGAUGGUGAACUAUGCCUGAGCAGGGUGAAGUCAGGGGAAACUCUGAUGGAGGCUCGUAGCGAUACUGACGUGCAAAUCGUUCGUCAUA